This 121-nucleotide non-coding RNA is filed under the name Oryza meridionalis. Lineage: Eukaryota; Viridiplantae; Streptophyta; Magnoliopsida; Poales; Poaceae. The record is from Rfam by way of RNAcentral.
GAGAGGACCUUUCCCCAGUACGAGAGGACCGGGAAGGACGCACCUCUGGUGUACCAGUUAUCGUGCCUACGGUAAACGUUGGGUAGCCUGCAAAGUAGAUAAUUUUCUCUUCUUCAAGAUU